AACGCUGGCGGCGUGCCUAAUACAUGCAAGUCGAGCGGACAGAUGGGAGCUUGCUCCCUGAUGUUAGCGGCGGACGGGUGAGUAACACGUGGGUAACCUGCCUGUAAGACUGGGAUAACUCCGGGAAACCGGGGCUAAUACCGGAUGGUUGUUUGAACCGCAUGGUUCAAACAUAAAAGGUGGCUUCGGCUACCACUUACAGAUGGACCCGCGGCGCAUUAGCUAGUUGGUGAGGUAACGGCUCACCAAGGCGACGAUGCGUAGCCGACCUGAGAGGGUGAUCGGCCACACUGGGACUGAGACACGGCCCAGACUCCUACGGGAGGCAGCAGUAGGGAAUCUUCCGCAAUGGACGAAAGUCUGACGGAGCAACGCCGCGUGAGUGAUGAAGGUUUUCGGAUCGUAAAGCUCUG
Molecule: ribosomal RNA, 413 nt
Filed under: Bacillus subtilis
Lineage: Bacteria; Bacillati; Bacillota; Bacilli; Caryophanales; Bacillaceae
Description: bacterial SSU rRNA
Rfam family: Bacterial small subunit ribosomal RNA
Source: RNAcentral